This 495-nucleotide ribosomal RNA is filed under the name uncultured bacterium. RNAcentral describes it as "partial 16S ribosomal RNA". It matches the Rfam family "Bacterial small subunit ribosomal RNA", at positions 29 to 507 of the family's 1533-position model. The record is from RNAcentral.
ACGAACGCUGGCGGCGUGCCUAAUACAUGCAAGUUGAGCGCUGAAGGUUGGUACUUGUACCAACUGGAUGAGCAGCGAACGGGUGAGUAACGCGUGGGGAAUCUGCCUUUGAGCGGGGGACAACAUUUGGAAACGAAUGCUAAUACCGCAUAAAAACUUUAAACACAAGUUUUAAGUUUGAAAGAUGCAAUUCAUCACUCAAAGAUGAUCCCGCGUUGUAUUAGCUAGUUGGUGAGGUAAAGGCUCACCAAGGCGAUGAUACAUAGCCGACCUGAGAGGGUGAUCGGCCACAUUGGGACUGAGACACGGCCCAAACUCCUACGGGAGGCAGCAGUAGGGAAUCUUCGGCAAUGGACGAAAGUCUGACCGAGCAACGCCGCGUGAGUGAAGAAGGUUUUCGGAUCGUAAAACUCUGUUGGUAGAGAAGAACGUUGGUGAGAGUGGAAAGCUCAUCAAGUGACGGUAACUACCCAGAAAGGGACGGCUAACUACGUG